UACGUAGGGGGCUAGCGUUGUCCGGAAUCAUUGGGCGUAAAGAGCGUGUAGGCGGUCCGGUAAGUCCGCUGUGAAAGUCGGGGGCUCAACCCUCGAAUGCCGGUGGAUACUGUCGGGCUAGAGUGCGGAAGAGGCGAGUGGAAUUCCUGGUGUGGCGGUGAAAUGCGCAGAUAUCAGGAGGAACACCUAUUGCGAAGGCAGCUCGCUGGGACGUAACUGACGCUGAGACGCGAAAGCGUGGGGAGCAAACAGG
Molecule: ribosomal RNA, 253 nt
Filed under: uncultured bacterium
Lineage: Bacteria
Description: partial 16S ribosomal RNA
Rfam family: Bacterial small subunit ribosomal RNA
Source: RNAcentral